CGGAUCCUCCCACUUCAGCCUCCCAAAUAGCUAGGACUACAGCUGCACGUUCUGCUAAAUGCUGUGAUGACCAAGAGAGGCAUUUAAAUUUUUAUUUGGAGGACUCACUUCCAACUUAGAACACAACCUACAAAGGAAUUCCCUACCAGCAUGCCAGCACAUCAUUUGGAAGUUCAAGGUAUUCUUGCUCAACAACUGCACACAUUAAAAGUCCCUGGAGUACAUGACGCCUGCUGCCUGGGGUUGGACUCUGUCGCUGGGGAUUCUGGAAAUUAGGGUAGAAUUCACAGCUCUGCCUUUCCACCUGCUGUGACGUCUUCAAGUUACAACUCCGCCGCCUAUCAGGGACCUCCGUGAUUAGUAAGGGGGAAAUUGUCACAUUUUUCUCCCUAGAUCACAGGUCUGAGGAAGUAGUUUUCCUAAGAUUUUGUAAAAUGGCUUUAUAAUUAAAAACAUUGAUUUUCCUAUUAGAAA
Molecule: long non-coding RNA, 474 nt
Organism: Macaca mulatta (Rhesus monkey)
Lineage: Eukaryota; Metazoa; Chordata; Mammalia; Primates; Cercopithecidae
Source: RefSeq, a predicted model, not a curated record